RNAcentral lists this long non-coding RNA (1867 nucleotides) under Homarus americanus (American lobster). RNAcentral describes it as "uncharacterized LOC121872634". Lineage: Eukaryota; Metazoa; Arthropoda; Malacostraca; Decapoda; Nephropidae. The record is from RNAcentral.
CUAACCUAACCUACCCGAGCAUAACCUAAUAGAUCUUAACCUAGCCUAACAUACCUUAACCUAACCUAUCCUAACUUAUCCUAACCCAACCAAACCUAACCUAUCAUUAUAUUGAUUUUCCAUUAUAUUUAUAAGUAUAUCUAUUUAUCACAUUCGCCACUUAUCAGCUGACUAGCCGUUUGGGCGGUUUAUCCAGGAGGAAACCGAGGACCGGGGAGGAACCUGUGGUGUUUGGUAGGGUCACAUUGGAUAUCACCCUUCUCAGGUGUGUCCGGGCCGAGGCUCGAACCCUUGAUAUAUUGGUGAGAGUUAUGCGCUUUACCACCAACGUCCUACAUCUGAGUAAUACUGAAUAAUAGUAUAGAUCAUUUUUUUAUUACCAUUCUGUACAGGCCAAAAAAAUUAAUUAAUUUCCCAUCACAAGAAAAAUGGUAUGAUGUUUCUAUGUUCAAUGUUGAUGCUGCAUAUAAACAAUGGAUUCACCAAAAUUAUUGUCAUACAGAUGCCUCAAAUUUUACUAGAUGAUUGAAUACACUUGUGACUAAGACUCUAGUUUUAAUUUUUAUAAGAAUAAUUUUAAGUUGUGCAGGGGAAAAAAGUAGCAUUGAUCGGGUAACUGGACCAAAAAAAUUCUCCCAUAUAAAUUUUGUAUUUUGAGUAUGAAUCUUGCCAUUCUAUUUCCUGACUUUUAAUCAGUUUUUGGUCAAAGAGGUCAGGGUGCACUUUGAAUGAAAUACUGGAUACAUUUUUUAAUAUGGAAUCAUUGUAUUGACAGCGGGUUUUUGAUGGCAUCUUGAAGCGUUUGCUAGGAGGUGGAUUCAUCGUCAAGUGGAUGUCUGCACUAAUUGAGAAACACACACUGGCCACACGCAGGAAGGCUGUGGAAGCUGCAAUGUUGAGGGGAAAGUUGGAGACAGUACUGGAGGGGGAUCAGCUGAGACUCACCUUGUACCACCUGCAGGGAGUUUUCUUCAUUUUUGCUGCUGGUCUGCUCCUCUCUGCCCUAACUUUCACCUGUGAGCUAAUCCUCUUUGAUUUCUCUUACGGCAAGAAGGAUUAACAUCAUCAACCGUUCCUGAAAGACUUGCUUGAGUUCACUCUUCCUAUACUGUACAUGGGAAGCUCCUUCUUCUGACCUAUUCUCACAGUAGAAACUCCUUUAUUCUUCAGGACUUUGCUUGAGUAUUAUCCAUAUAUACUAAGUAAGGAAUUCAAUUAUGUUUAUCAUAGCCAUACUGUAUUUAAACUGUUUUUAUUAGAGUUUAAACAUUUUGCACAUCAGUCUUUCUGUUUCACUGCAUGUACUGAACAAAAUAUUUUUUGGUGAGGAAAUAGAGUGGAAAAUAUAGGUACGCAUAAAUGUAAUCUAUUUAUUUGCAUGUUUUAAAAGGAAUUCUAGAAGGGCUAGAAAUUCUAAAUUUGUGUCUUUGGUGGCCUACUCAACUGGAUAUUAGAGACUCAGGGUUCAGUUACAACUUUGCUCCACCAGCACACUUCAUGUAUCAUGUCCUUGCCUUCUUUUAUCUUAAUACUGCACUGCACUUAUUUUUAUUAGGCACUCUGAAAUGUCUUGUAAUGGCUAUUAUCAUAUACAGUACAGUACUAUUGUUUCUCACAAAGAUGCAUAAACACUCCACUACCACUUCAUGAACCUUACUCACUACUGUAUACCAUAGCCCAGUCCUUCAUCACUUCUCUCCUUACUCAAUGGACACUUUAUUUCCUACAUCCCAUUGUAUGAACUAGAAAAACAAACGGAAUCGGGAAGCACAAGAACAAGUAGAGGUAGUAACAAAAUUAUAAGAAAUAAUUUGUACCACUCAUGUAUGGCAAAAUCCUGAUAUUAAGCUAAAUUUCAACUCAUAAA